Cyprinus carpio (common carp) is the source of this 2475-nucleotide long non-coding RNA. The record is from Ensembl. NCBI's taxonomy places the organism in Eukaryota, Metazoa, Chordata, Actinopteri, Cypriniformes, Cyprinidae.
UGUAUAAAAUGUGACAGCAACUUUUAUAUCAAACAUUUUGAAAUCGUCCAAAGCUGAACAAUGCUAGAGGCAUACAUGAAAACACACUAAAAAAUAAAUUAAGUUUGUGAGAGUUGCAUUUUAUUAGCUACAUUCAGAAAUAAUAACGGCAGGCCUAAUAAUGCUAUAGGCUAAUGAACCAACAGGAUAUUUUUGCUAUCAGUGUGAUAACUUUUUCUCAAACUUUUUUUUUUCUCUCAGAUCUUUUAUUUUCUCGCAUGGAAUAAAGACACAAUUCUAACUCCAUAACGCGCUGCCAAGAUGGCGACGGCCUACUCGGCACCAUAGACAGUAAAGCUCGGCACACACCGGUUCAAGCAACUGUCGAAGUUUUUUCCGAGGAUUACCGAGAACCCUAAAGAAUAAUGUUAGCUGGAUUUAGAAGUGGAAGAACGGAGAGCUUGCAUAAGGACAGUUCCAGAGGCCACCAGACAACUAUGAAUCUACUUCACCCAUCGAAGAGCCUUCUUUAUUUGCUCCUAACCUUUGGACCCUUUCUAGGUGGAAUGUCGAUCCCGGUUGCAGUAAACAUUGGGGAUACUGCGAUUUUCACUUGUAAUGAGACAUGUAAUGGACAUCUCUUGUGGACAUUCCGCACUAACAAUGAAAAUCUAGACGUUGUAAAAUGUGUCCAAGAGACUUGCACCAAAGGAGACAACUUUAAGAACAGAGUGAGCCUUAAGCCUGGAAAAAUGUCUCUAGCCCUGUAUCCUGUUCUGUACAAUGAUGAAGGCUGGUACAUUGUCAAAUGUGAUUCAGCGGUUGCCUGUAGAUUCCACUUAGAAGCUCUUGUACCAACUACUGUGAGCACCUCAGUCAGUAGCAAUGUCACACUACCCUGCUAUGCACGCACAGAGAAACAAAUCACUGAUGACACUGUGAAUAUCCUGUGGAAAAAAGAUGACCGAACGGUGUUACAAGUUCAAAAAGGAAUUACAACAUAUGGCUCAGGAUUUACAGGCAGGGUAUUAGUUUCACUGCACUAUUAUAAGGACGGAGAUCUUUCCCUUAACAUGGUCAGGGUCACCAUGUCAGAUAAGGGAUUGUACCGGUGCUAUCACAGAACUACAGAAGAACAGGGUUAUCCUGGUGCUGUUACUCUCAAUGUUACAGCUGAUCAAAAGUUUUAUGCAAAAAAGUUUGGGGGAAAUCUCACCCUGGACCUGUUUGGCUCUGACCAUGUAAGGGUAACUUUCACCGUUCAUGAUGCAGAUGAGACGCCUGUUUGCAGUGUGACGGGAAACAAACCUACAUGCUCAUCUGAGUACACGCACAGAAUAUCUGUCAUAAAUGACUUCCUUGUGCUGCGCGAGUUAACGUCCACUGAUACAGGCACAUUUACUGUGAAAAAUGAGAUGGAUGAAGUCAUUGGUGUCAACACUGUCACUGUGGAGGGUAAGUUUGAAAUCAAACUAAUUUCAUUUUUUGUUGUUUAAUUUGUUCUUUUCAGUUUUAAUAAUUGGCUUUCGUUUGCAUUCAGAACUAAGUUCCUUUCUUUGUCAUGCACAGGUGUGACCCAGAGACAUCACUACAUAGCUCUGUCUGUGAUAAUUGGUUUCAUUCUCAUUUGCCUGUUCCUUUGCUGUCAGUGUUGUAGACAGUCACAAGCACAGCAGUAUCGCUGCAGUUAUAGUGCAAUACAGUCUAAUGUGAAUAUAAAUCCAGAACCGAUGAGAGAGCCUGCAUGCAUUGAAUUUUCACAAGAAGAAACCAACCCAGAGCCUGAAGUUCAUCUACACACACCUGUCGAGGAGACCAUGCCUGAGCCUGUGAGGACCACUGAGAAGCAAGACAACACUGAAGAGUAUAUUACGUGUGGAAUAGGAAUUAGAGAAACAAUUUAAGAAUACUUUAAGAGAACUGAAAAAAAAAAAAAAAAAAUCCUCCUCAAAUGUUCUUCCGCUGCUGUAUUAUAUGCUAUGAAAAAGAUGGCAUUAGAUUUAAUUGGAUAUUCUUUGAGCAACUGCAUAACUGUGCCAGUGAACAAUAUGUUAAACUUGAAGAGAAAUUGAUUAUAUUUUUUACUUCAGGAAGGCCUGUAGCUGCAGUCUUGUUUUUGGCCAAAAAUAUAAAUUUUCCAUCAUCAAUAGUGUAGCGAUGUAUAAAGCACAGCACAGUCACUUUCAAUUCCAGUUAGCCACAGAGUGUUAAAUUAAUGUGAAGUAUUUUUAUUGUAAAUCAUAUAAUAGCCUUUUUUUCUGACAUGUUUACAUUGCUGUUAGGCAUCUUAAAUCAUUAGGCUUGGGGUGCACAACUAUUAUUCUUGUCGUAAUGAUGAUGUCAGAUGUGGCCACACUGGAAACCCACUUGCUUGACUGUGCUUAUUCUUAAUAAGCAUUAUUCUGCACUUUGAUAUAUUGCACUUUUUCUAUUCUAUUUAUAAGCUUUCGAUACUAACCUUGUGGUAUAACCUUUUUUCUAUUGAAUUUGUUUUAU